GACGAACGCUGGCGGCGUGCUUAACACAUGCAAGUCGAACGGAAAGACCCUGCUUUUGUGGGGUGCUCGAGUGGCGAACGGGUGAGUAACACGUGAGUAACCUGCCCUUGACUUUGGGAUAACUUCAGGAAACUGGGGCUAAUACCGGAUAGGAGCUCCUGCUGCAUGGUGGGGGUUGGAAAGUUUCGGCGGUUGGGGAUGGACUCGCGGCUUAUCAGCUUGUUGGUGGGGUAGUGGCUUACCAAGGCUUUGACGGGUAGCCGGCCUGAGAGGGUGACCGGCCACAAUGGGACUGAGAUACGGACCAGACUCCUACGGGAGGCAGCAGUGGGGAAUAUUGCACAAUGGGCGGAAGCCUGAUGCAGCAACGCCGCGUGCGGGAUGACGGCCUUCGGGUUGUAAACCGCUUUCGCCUGUGACGAAGCGUGAGUGACGGUAAUGGGUAAAGAAGCACCGGCUAACUACGUG
Molecule: ribosomal RNA, 468 nt
Filed under: uncultured bacterium
Lineage: Bacteria
Description: partial 16S ribosomal RNA
Rfam family: Bacterial small subunit ribosomal RNA
Source: RNAcentral